RNAcentral lists this ribosomal RNA (1883 nucleotides) under human gut metagenome. RNAcentral describes it as "bacterial LSU rRNA". It matches the Rfam family "Bacterial large subunit ribosomal RNA", at positions 3 to 1980 of the family's 2925-position model. The record is from RNAcentral.
UCAAGCUAAUAAGAGCGCAGGGAGGAUGCCUUGGCAUUGGGAGCCGAUGAAGGACGUGGUAAGCUGCGAAAAGCUGCGGGGAAUUGCAAGCAAGUAUUGAUCCGCAGAUGUCCGAAUGGAGCAAUCCGUUAAGAGUAAUAUCUUAACAUCAUAUACUGAAUCAAUAGGUAUAUGAGGGGAACCGCCUGAACUGAAACAUCUAAGUAGGGCGAGGAAAAGAAAUCAACCGAGAUUCCGAAAGUAGUGGCGAGCGAAAUCGGAAGAGGCUAAACCGAACUCAGAAAUGAGAUCGGGGUUUAGGACUGCAUUUAGUAUUGAAAUGAGCGAGCAGAAUGCUUUGGGAAAAGCAGCCGAAGAACGUGAGAGCCGUGUAAGCGAAGUGAGUUUCAGCGAGCAGUAUCCAAAGUACCGCGGGGCACGUGAAAUCCCGUGGGAAGAUGGGGGGACCACCCUCCAAGCCUAAAUACUACCCAAUGACCGAUAGCGAAUAGUACUGUGAAGGAAAGGUGAAAAGCACCCCGGGAGGGGAGUGAAAAAGAACCUGAAACCCUGUGCUUACAAGCACUGAGAGCUCGUCAAAGAGUGAUCAGGUACCUAUUGUAGAAUGGUCCGGCGAGUUAUGAUAUGCAGCAAGGUUAAGUACUUAAGGUACGGAGCCGCAGCGAGAGCGAGUCUGAAUAGGGCGUAAAGUUGUAUGUCAUAGACCCGAAACCGAGUGACCUAGCCAUGUCCAGGCUGAAGUGGAGGUAAAACUCCAUGGAGGGCCGAACCGACCUCCGUUGAAAAGGCGGCGGAUGAGGUGUGGCUAGCGGAGAAAUUCCAAUCGAACUCGGAUAUAGCUGGUUCUCUCCGAAAUAGCUUUAGGGCUAGCGUUGCAACAGAUUACCGGAGGUAAAGCACUGAAUAGGCUAGGGGGCGAGAGCUUACUGAACCUUAUCAAACUAAGAAUGCCGGAUAAUUGAUUUGCAGCAGUCAGACAGUGUGAGAUAAGUUUCAUUGUCAAAAGGGAAACAGCCCAGACCCACAGCUAAGGUCCCAAAGUACAUUUGAGUGGAAAAGGAUGUGGGGUUGCAUAGACAACCGGGAUGUUGGCUUAGAAGCAGCCAUACAUUAAAAGAGUGCGUAAUAGCUCACCGGUCGAGUGACCCUGCGCCGAAAAUUCAACGGGGCUAAAAUGUACACCGAAGCUUGGGAUUGUACUAUGUACAGUGGUAGGAGAGCGUCGUAUGAGAGGAGAAGUCAGAGCGGAAGCGCUGGUGGAUUUCAUACGAGUGAGAAUGCCGGAAUGAGUAGCGAGAAUUAUGUGAGAAUCAUAAUGGCCGAAAGUCUAAGGUUUUGGAAGGAAGGUUCGUCCGCUUCCAGUAAGCCGGGAGCUAAGGUGAGGCCGAAAGGCGUAGCCGAUGCACAUACGGUUGAAAUUCCGUAGCCUCCGAAGUAUUUAAACAGAAGGACACUUGAGAAGUGAUGUUGCCGGGCGAUGGUUGACCCGGUCGUAAGGGACCGAAAUUUAGUAGGGAAGUCAUCAUGGAUCGAGGCGAGAAAAGUUCUGUGAAUAUACAAGGAGCCCGUACCGCAAACCGACACAGGUAGAUAGGAAGAAAAUUCUAAGGCCAACGGGAGAAGGGUUGUUAAGGAACUCGGCAAGUUGACCCCGUAACUUCGGAAUAAGGGGUGCUCACGAGAGUGAGCCGCAGAGAAUAGGCCCAGGCAACUGUUUACCAAAAACACAGGUUUGUGCUAAAUCGAAAGAUGACGUAUACGAGCUGACGCCUGCCCGGUGCUGGAAGGUUAAGAGGAGAUGUGCAAGCAUUGAAUCGAAGCCCCAGUGAACGGCGGCCGUAACUAUAACGGUCCUAAGGUAGCGAAAUUCCUUGUCAGGUAAG